CGCCGCGAGACGGAAUCUGAAGGAAGCCGGAGGCAAACCCUCGGCCCGAGGGACACGAACCGCAUAAGGCGCGCGCGGUGGGCAAGGCUGCGUCUCAAGUCGAAGCCCGAUAGCUGCACGGAGACCGCGCGCGUAGAUGCGGCGGGUACGCGAGGGGAAGGGUGU
Molecule: non-coding RNA, 165 nt
Filed under: bovine gut metagenome
Source: RNAcentral